CACUCCAUGAUAGCUCAGUUGGUAGAGCUUGAGAUUCUUGAUCUGAGGGUCGUGGGUUUGAUCCCGAUGUUGGGUGA
Molecule: non-coding RNA, 77 nt
Organism: Podarcis lilfordi (Lilford's wall lizard)
Lineage: Eukaryota; Metazoa; Chordata; Lepidosauria; Squamata; Lacertidae
Source: the annotation of a GenBank genome assembly